This 260-nucleotide long non-coding RNA is filed under the name Mytilus galloprovincialis (Mediterranean mussel). Lineage: Eukaryota; Metazoa; Mollusca; Bivalvia; Mytilida; Mytilidae. The record is from RNAcentral.
UUUACAUUUGUAAACUCUAUUAUCAGAUUCCUUGAUGGAAUUUGAAUGUAAAUUUAAAACUAAUUUGGCAUUGUUUAAAUCUGACCCAACAUUGGAAGAUCUUGAUGGAAGGUCUGUGCCGGGAAACCAUUUUGUAAUAUUCGUUUCGCCAUUUCUAUGAACAUCUACAAUGUCCCAAUAACUUCCAUUUAUUUCUUUUGAUAUUUUAAUCCAAUAGACAUUAGUAUGUUGAUAAUCGGCAAGUUGGCAACUUAUUGAAU